Pelobates cultripes (western spadefoot toad) is the source of this 762-nucleotide non-coding RNA. Lineage: Eukaryota; Metazoa; Chordata; Amphibia; Anura; Pelobatidae. The record is from the annotation of a GenBank genome assembly.
GGGCAAUUGCCCCGUUGCCCCCCUGGAUCCACCAGUGAUAUAUACAGCCCCUCUGUGUGCCUUUUUGUCUCCCCCCAGUCCCUCUGGGUGUUUCUUUCUCCCCCUCACUGAUCCUGUGUCCAUGUCUCCCCUCUCCUUCCCAGUCUCUCUUACCCCUCUUUCUCUUUCUCCCCCUCCCCUUGUGUGUCUCUCUCCUUUCUCCCUGUGUCUCUCUCUUCCACUGUUUCUUUCUCCCCCCCUUUCCCUGUGUCUCUCUCUCCCCAACAUCUCUCUUCCUCUGUGCAUCCUGUGCUGGGAAUUGUGGGAACCGCAAGGGAGCAUGAGAGAGAGACAUGUUCCUCCCUCCUUUCAUCCUCAGCAUUAGUGACAGGACAGGAGUACCACUGGACCAGCGAGGCUGCCACCCGGCCCGGUGGCUCCAGCGUGAAACGCGGCCGGCCCCCUCAGAGUGUGCCACCGGACCGCCCACCCGGUGGCACCUACUUGCUUAGCCCCCAGAUGCCACGGCCCCAGUGGGCCAAUCUGGCCCUACCGCUGGGCCCCCUGAUGGCUGCCCUGGCGACAGGCCCCCCUCCCAGCCGGUCCGAAGUGCCCGACCGGUCAGUCCGCCCCUUUAUCCAACAUGAUUAUUAUAGCUUAAACUUUGCAUUCAGAUCCCAAGUCACCACAAGUCACUAUUUUGUCAUUAGUCACUUUAAUUAGUUUGCAUAGUCAGCAUAAACUGUGUUAAAAAUGUAUGAAAUUAAAUCAUUGCCAAAAAAG